GAUGAACGCUGGCGGCGUGCCUAAUACAUGCAAGUCGAGCGAACAGACGAGGAGCUUGCUCCUUUGACGUUAGCGGCGGACGGGUGAGUAACACGUAGGUAACCUACCUAUAAGACUGGGAUAACUUCGGGAAACCGGAGCUAACACCGGAUAAUAUUUCGAACCGCAUGGUUCGAUAGUGAAAGAUGGCUUUGCUAUCACUUAUAGAUGGACCUGCGCCGUAUUAGCUAGUUGGUAAGGUAACGGCUUACCAAGGCAACGAUACGUAGCCGACCUGAGAGGGUGAUCGGGCACCAUGGGACUGAGACACGGUCCAGGCUCCUACGGGAGGCAGCAGUAGGGAAUCUUCCGCAAUGGGCGAAAGCCUGACGGAGCAACGCCGCGUGAGUGAUGAAGGUCUUCGGAUCGUAAAACUCUGUUAUUAGGGAAGAACAAACGUGUAAGUAACUGUGCACGUCUUGACGGUACCUAAUCAGAAAGCCACGGCUAACUACGUG
RNAcentral lists this ribosomal RNA (497 nucleotides) under uncultured bacterium. RNAcentral describes it as "partial 16S ribosomal RNA". It matches the Rfam family "Bacterial small subunit ribosomal RNA", at positions 28 to 507 of the family's 1533-position model. The record is from RNAcentral.